AUUUUACAAAAGAUUUGAAUCCUGGAGAGUUCUGGACAGCCUGUACCACGGGACCACUGGCAUCCUGUACAUGAGCGCUGCCGUCCUACAAGUACAUGCCACGAUUGUUUCUGAGAAACUGCUGGACCCAAGAAUUUACUACAUUAAUUCGGCAGCCUCGUUCUUCGCCUUCAUCGCCACGCUGCUCUACAUUCUCCAUGCCUUCAGCAUCUAUUACCACUGAUGCACAGGCGCCAGGCCAAGGGGGAAAUGCUCUUUGAAAGCUCCAAUUAUUGGUCCCCAAAAGCAGCUUCCAACGUUUGCCAUCUGGAUGACAAACGGAAGAUCCACUAAAACGUCCACGGGAUUAACAGAACGUCCUUGCAGACUGAGCGAUGACACCACACUUUGUUUGGACAUUUAAAUUCACUCUGCUGAAUAGGAGGAAGCUUUUCUUUUUCCUGGGAAAACAACUGUCUCUUGGAAUUAUCUGACCAUGAACUUGCUCUUCUAGACAACUCACAUCAAAGCCCUCACUCCACUAAUGGAGAAUCCUAGCCCCACUAAUGCCAAGUCUGUUUGGGGAUUUUGCCUCAGCUAUGGGCUUCCCUAGAGUAGGUCUAGGGGAAUACUCAGUCUGAUCUUUUUUUUGUUUGUUUUAUUUUGUUUUUUUUGAGACGGAGUCUCGCUCUUCCUCCAAGGCUGGAGUGCAGUGACGCGAUCUCCACUCACUGCAGGCUCCGCCUCCCGGGUUCCCGCCAUUCUCCUGCCUCAGCCUCCCGAGUAGCCGGGACUACAGGCGCCCACCACCGUGCCCGGCUAAUUUAGUUGUAUUUUUAGUAGAGAUGGGGUUUCACCGUAUUAGCCAGGAUGGUCUCGAUCUCCUGACCUCGUGAUCCGCCCGCCUCGGCCUCCCAAAGUGCUGGGAUUACAGGCGUGAGCCACCGCGCCCGGCCUGAUUCUCUUAAAAUUGAAGAGGUGCUGCCAAGGCCUUCAGAUCUAACGCAGAUGCAUAGACCUUGUUCCUGGUACUUGUUCAGCCUGUGCUGGGGAGCCGUGGUCCCGAGUUCCCUGGGAGGCUGACAGGGUCAAGCCACCCUGCCCACCACCCUCCCACUUCCCCUCCCCUUUCCUCUCCAGCAUUAGGAUUCAAGGGAAAUUUGCAUGAAGCCAAUUUUGAGGGUAGACGUGUGGGGAAAAUAAAUCAUUAUACAGUAAGACCUGGGGCUUGAGGGGUGGGGAAUGGGGAGGGAAGGGCAUAGCCUGCUCCUCCAUGAGUCUGACAUCUCGGAAACUGAGCAGCUGCCGGACGCCUGGGUCAGGAAUCCAAGACCCCACCUCUUAAGGACUGGUUCCUCAGAAAGCACCCUCAGGGAAAAAGGUGAAAACAUUACAUCCGUGGAUUCUCCUGCCACAACCGCAUUGGAAGAAAAGGCUGCCGCAACAUCUCAGCGAGGAGUGAAGGACCCAUGUCCCAGGAACCGCGCUGCGCCACCUGCACUCACCCCCCUCACAUUCUCUUAAGCACCCGGUGGCCCUCCGAGGCCUGGCGGAAUGGUGGUGCCCACGGGGUUGGGCAAGGGCUCACCAGGACCUCAACGGGCAAAGUUGUGCACACUAAAAUAUCAAAUCAAGGUGCUUGGUUUUAAAGUAAAUGUUUUUCUAAAGAAAGCUGUGCUCUUCUGUUGACCCAGACGAAUAGGGCACAGCCCUGUAACUGCACGUGCCUUCUGUCAUUGGGAAUGAAAUAAAUUAUUACGAGAAAGGGACUUGUCCUAACUGGUUUGAGGCCUUACAGUUUUGUAUCUACAUUUUUCCCCUCCUGGGGUUUGCGGGGACAGGGACAGAACUACAGGAGUCAUGGGAAAGAAAAUUCUGGCUUCACUACUGCUCACUGCUCACUUUCUGAUCACUCUGAUACUUUUUUUUUUUUUUUUUUUUUUGCAACCUGAUACCUUGAAAAGCUUCUAUGUGUCUCUCCUUUUGUUGCCUGGCAGCUGUCUAGGAUGAUCACUGAUUACUAUUUACUAAGUAGCCACAUGCAAAUAAAAGUUGUUUGGUAAAAAGG
This 2047-nucleotide long non-coding RNA is filed under the name Homo sapiens (human). RNAcentral's name for it is "long non-coding RNA NONHSAT182378.1". The record is from RNAcentral. Lineage: Eukaryota; Metazoa; Chordata; Mammalia; Primates; Hominidae.